This 567-nucleotide long non-coding RNA is filed under the name Coturnix japonica (Japanese quail). Its description in RNAcentral is "lncRNA (ENSCJPG00005003773.1)". The record is from RNAcentral. Lineage: Eukaryota; Metazoa; Chordata; Aves; Galliformes; Phasianidae.
GUAUCUUUCCUUUUAUCUCAGAAAAGAUCUGACUCAGGUUCAGCAAGUAAGUGCUCAGCUCCACCUGCUUCUUCUGCCUUUUCCUGCAUCCUGACCACUUCAUUUAAAGCCCAUGAUUCCCAGCAGGUGGAUGUGCUCUAUAUGUGGUAAUUGAAAAGAAUUUUACUUGGAGAAAAGAAGAAACAAAGGGAAAAAUUUCAAAAGCAUGACAGGAAAAAGAAGUCUUUAAAAUUAAGAAUAGAGUGCUAAGCUGAGAAGAAAUAAUGUUGAGUUGAAGCACAAGGAGGAGGUGAAUUGUAGCAAGGGCAAUAUGAUAUAAAUAUGAUAUAAAUAACAAAUUAUAAGGGAUGGAAAGUGCCAUGUGAAAAAAAAAAAAAGGAAAAAAUAAAGAAAAAAUAUUUUAUGCAUAAAGGAAGCAGAAAAUAAGAAAACAAAGGGAGAAUCAAAUUACAGCUUGCAGUCUGCCUCCUUUUGUGCCCCAUUAAAAUUGCCAGAGAAGUCAGCAGAGAAUUUCAGAAAACUCUCUUUGGAAACUGAAUGGAAGGAUGAGCAGAAGCCCAUGCUGUC